UGCCAGCCGCCGCGGUAAUACGUAUGGUGCAAGCGUUAUCCGGAAUCACUGGGCGUAAAGGGAGCGUAGGCGGUUUUGCAAGUCAGAAGUGAAAGGCUACGGCUCAACCGUAGUAAGCUUUUGAAACUGCAAGACUAGAGUGCAGGAGAGGCAAGUGGAAUUCCUAGUGUAGAGGUGAAAUUCGUAGAUAUUAGGAGGAACACCAGUGGCGAAGGCGGCUUUCUGGACCGAUACCGACGCUGAGGUGCGAAAGCUAGGGGAGCAAACAGGAUUAGAUA
Molecule: ribosomal RNA, 278 nt
Filed under: uncultured bacterium
Lineage: Bacteria
Description: partial 16S ribosomal RNA
Rfam family: Bacterial small subunit ribosomal RNA
Source: RNAcentral